RNAcentral lists this transfer RNA (69 nucleotides) under Felis catus (domestic cat). Its description in RNAcentral is "tRNA-OTHER". Lineage: Eukaryota; Metazoa; Chordata; Mammalia; Carnivora; Felidae. The record is from RNAcentral.
CCUGGGUGCCUCAGCAGGUAAGCUCAGGUCAUAAUCUCAGGGUUUGUAAAUUUGAGCCCCACAUUGGGC